CCCGAGCACCUCGGGGACUGUGGGGCAGGGCGGCCCCGAGACCCCCGCCCGGCCCAGCCGAGCAGCACAAAGAAGUGUGGACUAGAGUGGUGGGGGCGGUCAGCAAGGAGGCUGAUACAGUAAUCACAGAGGGAUAGGGGCCUAGUACAGUGCUCUGCACUCAGGGCACACUCGAGAAAUGUCAUCGAUUGAUAGAACCUGAGGACUUAACUCUUCAUUCAGGCUCAGCAACAGAUGUCUUCAAGGCCAGUAACACCUAUCUA
Molecule: long non-coding RNA, 263 nt
Organism: Tachyglossus aculeatus (Australian echidna)
Lineage: Eukaryota; Metazoa; Chordata; Mammalia; Monotremata; Tachyglossidae
Exons: 3
Source: RefSeq, a predicted model, not a curated record